UACCAGCACCCCGAGUGGUCGGGACGAUUAUUGGGCCUAAAGCAUCCGUAGCCGGUCCUACAAGUCUUCCGUUAAAUCCACCUGCUUAACAGAUGGGCUGCGGAAGAUACUAUAAGGCUAGGAGGCGGGAGAGGCAAGCGGUACUCAGUGGGGUAGGGGUAAAAUCCUCUGAUCCAUUGAAGACCACCAGUGGCGAAGGCGGCUUGCCAGAACGCGCUCGACGGUGAGGGAUGAAAGCUGGGGGAGCAACCGG
This 253-nucleotide ribosomal RNA is filed under the name uncultured bacterium. Its description in RNAcentral is "partial 16S ribosomal RNA". It matches the Rfam family "Archaeal small subunit ribosomal RNA", at positions 474 to 726 of the family's 1478-position model. The record is from RNAcentral.